RNAcentral lists this ribosomal RNA (630 nucleotides) under Rotylenchulus reniformis. RNAcentral's name for it is "SSU rRNA". It matches the Rfam family "Eukaryotic small subunit ribosomal RNA", at positions 1003 to 1658 of the family's 1831-position model. Lineage: Eukaryota; Metazoa; Nematoda; Chromadorea; Rhabditida; Hoplolaimidae. The record is from RNAcentral.
GGCGAUCAGAUACCGCCCUAGUUCUGACCGUAAACGAUGCCAACUAGCGAUCCGCCAGUCGACUCAUCGCUCUGGUGGGGAGCUUCCCGGAAACGAAAGUCUUCCGGUUCCGGGGGAAGUAUGGUUGCAAAGCUGAAACUUAAAGGAAUUGACGGAAGGGCACCACCAGGAGUGGAGCCUGCGGCUUAAUUUGACUCAACACGGGGAAACUCACCCGGCCCGGACACCGUAAGGAUUGACAGAUUGAUAGCUUUUUCAUGAUUCGGUGGAUGGUGGUGCAUGGCCGUUCUUAGUUCGUGGAGCGAUUUGUCUGGUUUAUUCCGAUAACGAGCGAGACUCUGGCCUACUAAAUAGUUGACGCAUUGCCACUGUGCGCACAACUUCUUAGAGGGAUUUUCUGUGUUUUCAACCGCACGAAAUUGAGCAAUAACAGGUCUGUGAUGCCCUUAGAUGUCCGGGGCUGCACGCGCGCUACACUGGCAAACGCAACGUGCCUGUCCUGCCCCGAAAGGAGCGGGUAAACCCCUGAAAUUUUGCCGUGAUUGGGAUCGGACAUUGCAACUAUUGUCCGUGAACGAGGAAUUCCUUGUAGGGGCGAGUCAUCAACUCGUCCUGAAUACGUCCCUGCCC